GAUGAACGCUGGCGGCGUGCCUAAUACAUGCAAGUCGAGCGAAGCGGGGACGGGUGAGUAACAUGUGGAUAACUUCCUAUAAGACUGGGUUAACUUCGGAAAACGGGAGCUAAACUGGACACUUCUAGUUGGAUCCACGCUGUAUUAGCUAGUUGGUAAGCUAACGGCUAACCAUGGCAACGAUGCAUAGCAGACCUGAGAGGGUGACCAGCCACACUGGAUCUGAGACACGGUCCAGACUCCUACGGAUGGCAGCAGUAGGGAAUCUUCCACAAUGGGCGAAAGCCUGACGGAGCAACGCCGCGUGGGUGAUGAAGGUCUUCGGAUCGUAAAGCUCUUUUAUCAGGGAGGCGAUACCGGAUGAGAAAGCCACGGCUAACUCCGGGCCAGCAGCCGCGGUAAUCC
This 405-nucleotide ribosomal RNA is filed under the name uncultured bacterium. Its description in RNAcentral is "partial 16S ribosomal RNA". It matches the Rfam family "Bacterial small subunit ribosomal RNA", at positions 28 to 526 of the family's 1533-position model. The record is from RNAcentral.